Molecule: ribosomal RNA, 303 nt
Filed under: uncultured bacterium
Lineage: Bacteria
Description: partial 16S ribosomal RNA
Rfam family: Bacterial small subunit ribosomal RNA
Source: RNAcentral
AGCAGUAGCCGCGGGAAAACGUAGGGGGCAAGCGUUAUCCGGAAUUAUUGGGCGUAAAGAGUGCGUAGGUGGUCAACUAAGCGCGAGGUGAAAGGCAAUGGCUCAACCAUUGUUAGCCUUGCGAACUGGCAGACUUGAGUGCAAGAGAGGAAAGCGGAAUUCCUAGUGUAGCGGUGAAAUGCGCAGAUAUUAGGAGGAACACCGGCGGCGAAGGCGGCUUUCUGGAUUGUAACUGACACUGAGGCACGAAAGCGUGGGUAGCAAACAGGAUUAGAUACCCCCGUAAUCCCUGUCUCUUAUACA